Molecule: ribosomal RNA, 253 nt
Filed under: uncultured bacterium
Lineage: Bacteria
Description: partial 16S ribosomal RNA
Rfam family: Bacterial small subunit ribosomal RNA
Source: RNAcentral
UACGAAGGGGGCUAGCGUUGCUCGGAAUCACUGGGCGUAAAGCGCACGUAGGCGGGUCGUUAAGUCGGGGGUGAAAUCCUGGAGCUCAACUCCAGAACUGCCUUCGAUACUGGCGAUCUUGAGUCUGGGAGAGGUGAGUGGAACUCCGAAUGUAGAGGUGAAAUUCGUAGAUAUUCGGAAGAACACCAGUGGCGAAGGCGGCUCACUGGCCCGGUACUGACGCUGAGGUGCGAAAGCGUGGGGAGCAAACAGG